Micropterus dolomieu (smallmouth bass) is the source of this 712-nucleotide long non-coding RNA. RefSeq lists it as uncharacterized. The transcript is spliced from 3 exons. The record is from RefSeq and is a predicted model, not a curated record. NCBI's taxonomy places the organism in Eukaryota, Metazoa, Chordata, Actinopteri, Centrarchiformes, Centrarchidae.
CGCACAAUCAACCUAUCCUCCUCACCUCCAGGUAGGGCACGAGCCGACAGGACAGGUCUCCCAGCAACCUCUUCAAUGUGAGCUCAUGGAAGACGACCACGGGAAGGCAGAAGAACAGCACGAGGAAAUCCCAGAAGGCGAGCCCCGCCAGGAUGCAGUUCCACGCGCUCUUCAGGUAGAAGUUGUGCCACACUAUGCACAUGAGCGCGAGGUUCCCAACGAUGCCAGCUGCGAACAGCACGAGGGCGAGCAGCAUGACUGCGUACGCCCAGUAGGAGCCGUCGGUGACCGGGAACAGCGGGUUGAGGAGCCCCGACCCGUGGCCUGACGAAGAGUUACCCGGCGGGGCGGAGGCGUCCCGGUGGCUCCGCGGUGUGGUGAAGUACCCGCUCGGGUCGUCGUGCCGCCGCGGAUGGCUGUAACUGCUCGCACAAAGGGACACUGAGGCUUCUCAUCAAAUGAACAGCGUGACGACACCUGCAGCAUUUCCAGGUUGGGUCCCCUGAAGUUGUGACGGACUGAUGCUGCGUACUGUCCAGAAGUUCAUUUGCAGCAUCGUUCCCAUGACUGACCACAAAAUAGAGUAUUUACUAAAAUAAAAAAUAAAUCUGAUGAACUUGAUCUUUCUCUUGAUGUUUGUCUUCAGCAGCCAUUUGGUUGCUGACUGUGAAAAGAAAAAUCAGUCUGGGGCACAAAAUGGCGCCAAGAGAGA